Molecule: ribosomal RNA, 438 nt
Filed under: uncultured bacterium
Lineage: Bacteria
Description: bacterial SSU rRNA
Rfam family: Bacterial small subunit ribosomal RNA
Source: RNAcentral
GCUUAACGCGAAGAACCUUACCCACCUUUGACAUGGCAGGAACUUACCAGAGAUGGUUUGGUGCUCGAAAGAGAACCUGCACACAGGUGCUGCAUGGCUGUCGUCAGCUCGUGUCGUGAGAUGUUGGGUUAAGUCCCGCAACGAGCGCAACCCUUGCCAUUAGUUGCUACAUUCAGUUGAGCACUCUAAUGGGACUGCCGGUGACAAACCGGAGGAAGGUGGGGAUGACGUCAAGUCCUCAUGGCCCUUAUAGGUGGGGCUACACACGUCAUACAAUGGCUGGUACAAAGGGUUGCCAACCCGCGAGGGGGAGCUAAUCCCAUAAAGCCAGUCGUAGUCCGGAUCGCAGUCUGCAACUCGACUGCGUGAAGUCGGAAUCGCUAGUAAUCGUGGAUCAGAAUGUCACGGUGAAUACGUUCCCGGGUCUUGUACACACCG